RNAcentral lists this long non-coding RNA (412 nucleotides) under Vigna radiata. Its description in RNAcentral is "long non-coding RNA (VRAD_LNC012535)". The record is from RNAcentral. Lineage: Eukaryota; Viridiplantae; Streptophyta; Magnoliopsida; Fabales; Fabaceae.
AAAGAGAGAAAAGAAAAGAGACUAGAUGAAAAAAAAAAGAAAAAAAAAUACAGAAAAAUGAGAAAAAAAUUAAAAAAAAAAUUGUGUGAAUAAUGGAGUCACGAAGAGGAUUGAAUUAGAGGUUUUGGGUGUGUUUGAAUGUGUUUACACUUGUUCCUCAUUGCUCCUCUAUUUCUUUUGGUUUGUAGCUUCUCAUCCAUAUUUAUCCUCCCUUGUCCUUGGCCCCAUUGCAUCCAUAAAAGACCUUUUGAUUUGAACAUGCAUAUGUUUUUGAGUGUUGAUAUUAGAGGCUUGCCAAGUCUAUUUGUGUUUGUUUUCUUGAGUGCAUUGAGUUGAAACUGUUUACCCUAGAUACUUGAGAGAAACACUGAUAGUGUGCACCUGUGAGGUUCUGUUGCUUUUGAUUCACCUC